UACGGAGGGUGCAAGCGUUAUCCGGACUUCACUGGGUUUAAAGGGUGCGUAGGAGGGCAGGUAAGUCAGUGGUGAAAUCCUGGGGCUUAACCCCAGACUGCCGUUGAUACUAUCGGUCUUGAAUGUCGUGGAGGUGAGCGGAAUAUGUCAUGUAGCGGUGAAAUGCUUAGAUAUGACAUAGAACACCAAUUGCGAAGGCAGCUUGCUACACGGA
This 214-nucleotide ribosomal RNA is filed under the name uncultured bacterium. RNAcentral describes it as "partial 16S ribosomal RNA". It matches the Rfam family "Bacterial small subunit ribosomal RNA", at positions 524 to 737 of the family's 1533-position model. The record is from RNAcentral.